UACGUAGGGUGCAAGCGUUGUCCGGAAUUAUUGGGCGUAAAGAGCUCGUAGGCGGUUUGUCGCGUCUGCUGUGAAAACGCGAGGCUCAACCUCGCGCCUGCAGUGGGUACGGGCAGACUAGAGUGCGGUAGGGGAGAUUGGAAUUUCUGGUGUAGCGGUGGAAUGCGCAGAUAUCAGGAGGAACACCGAUGGCGAAGGCAGAUCUCUGGGCCGUAACUGACGCUGAGGAGCGAAAGCGUGGGGAGCGAACAGG
This 253-nucleotide ribosomal RNA is filed under the name uncultured bacterium. Its description in RNAcentral is "partial 16S ribosomal RNA". It matches the Rfam family "Bacterial small subunit ribosomal RNA", at positions 524 to 776 of the family's 1533-position model. The record is from RNAcentral.